RNAcentral lists this ribosomal RNA (498 nucleotides) under uncultured bacterium. Its description in RNAcentral is "partial 16S ribosomal RNA". It matches the Rfam family "Bacterial small subunit ribosomal RNA", at positions 28 to 507 of the family's 1533-position model. The record is from RNAcentral.
GAUGAACGCUGGCGGCGUGCCUAAUACAUGCAAGUCGAGCGAACGGACGAGAAGCUUGCUUCUCUGAUGUUAGCGGCGGACGGGUGAGUAACACGUGGAUAACCUACCUAUAAGACUGGGAUAACUUCGGGGAAACCGGAGCUAAUACCGGAUAAUAUUUUGAACCGCAUGGUUCAAAAGUGAAAGACGGUCUUGCUGUCACUUAUAGAUGGAUCCGCGCUGCAUUAGCUAGUUGGUAAGGUAACGGCUUACCAAGGCAACGAUGCAUAGCCGACCUGAGAGGGUGAUCGGCCACACUGGAACUGAGACACGGUCCAGACUCCUACGGGAGGCAGCAGUAGGGAAUCUUCCGCAAUGGGCGAAAGCCUGACGGAGCAACGCCGCGUGAGUGAUGAAGGUCUUCGGAUCGUAAAACUCUGUUAUUAGGGAAGAACAUAUGUGUAAGUAACUGUGCACAUCUUGACGGUACCUAAUCAGAAAGCCACGGCUAACUACGUG